Molecule: non-coding RNA, 38 nt
Filed under: Trypanosoma brucei brucei
Lineage: Eukaryota; Euglenozoa; Kinetoplastea; Trypanosomatida; Trypanosomatidae
Source: RNAcentral
AAAACAUAAACGGAAUAGAUGUAGAAGUAUAUAUAUAU